UUACGGCCAUAUCACGAUGAAACAUCGAUUCUCGUUCGAUCACCAAAGUUAAGCAACGUCAAGCCUGGUCAGUACCUAGAUGGUUGACCGCUUGGCUAACCAGGCACUGUAAG
Acanthosepion pharaonis is the source of this 113-nucleotide non-coding RNA. NCBI's taxonomy places the organism in Eukaryota, Metazoa, Mollusca, Cephalopoda, Sepiida, Sepiidae. The record is from the annotation of a GenBank genome assembly.